CAGCCGCCGCGGGAAUACAGAGGGUGCGAGCGUUAAUCGGAUUUACUGGGCGUAAAGCGUGCGUAGGCGGCUUUUUAAGUCGGAUGUGAAAUCCCUGAGCUUAACUUAGGAAUUGCAUUCGAUACUGGGAAGCUAGAGUAUGGGAGAGGAUGGUAGAAUUCCAGGUGUAGCGGUGAAAUGCGUAGAGAUCUGGAGGAAUACCGAUGGCGAAGGCAGCCAUCUGGCCUAAUACUGACGCUGAGGUACGAAAGCAUGGGGAGCAAACAGGAUUAGAGACCCCUGUAGUCCCUGUCUCUUAUAA
This 301-nucleotide ribosomal RNA is filed under the name uncultured bacterium. RNAcentral's name for it is "partial 16S ribosomal RNA". It matches the Rfam family "Bacterial small subunit ribosomal RNA", at positions 509 to 809 of the family's 1533-position model. The record is from RNAcentral.